CAGUGACAGAAAUUUGCGGAUCUUGAUGCAUUGAGACCAAAAUUGACUCCGUAUAAAACCAGAUUACAGAGAUGAUAAUGGAAAAGCAGAAUGAUAUGGCGCAGGACGCUUGCAGAUAAAUUCCCAACAUUCUAUACAAUUUAGCACCAAAGCCUUGGCCACAAAGUGUUUCAAGCGAUCCACUUAAACCUAUCAAGAAGGCAAAGCCAGUGACGCUGGCCCAGGAAUUGGCGAGAGUGGCGCCAGCAAGCUCAAGCUCACCAAGGUGGCCAGCAAACAUGACCGAAACUAAA
RNAcentral lists this unclassified non-coding RNA (293 nucleotides) under Hevea brasiliensis (rubber tree). Lineage: Eukaryota; Viridiplantae; Streptophyta; Magnoliopsida; Malpighiales; Euphorbiaceae. The record is from RNAcentral.